AAUGACGGCGUCGUGGGCUCAAUCACUCUUCCAGCAUCAGCCUCUUGAAGCACUAACCCUCUCUUCUGGGAGAAGAAGGACCAAGGCAACUGUCUGCUGUAUCCUGCUGUACUUUGGAGUGAAACUGGUGUGUUAAGAAGACCAGAUGAGACUGAACGUGGAA
This is a long non-coding RNA of Nothoprocta perdicaria, 163 nucleotides long. RefSeq lists it as uncharacterized. Lineage: Eukaryota; Metazoa; Chordata; Aves; Tinamiformes; Tinamidae. The record is from RefSeq and is a predicted model, not a curated record. The transcript has 4 exons.